RNAcentral lists this transfer RNA (94 nucleotides) under Virgisporangium aliadipatigenens. Its description in RNAcentral is "tRNA-Val". Lineage: Bacteria; Bacillati; Actinomycetota; Actinomycetes; Micromonosporales; Micromonosporaceae. The record is from RNAcentral.
GGGAGGCGUGGGCCGGCGGACGGGUCGCCCGGGUGACGGCCGGGGACGCCGGGGUGAGUGGCCGGUGAGCGGCUGGGACGCCGAUCCCUUCUUC